GACGAACCGUGCGAACGUUAUUCGGAUCACUGGGCUUAAAGGGCGCGUAGGCGGGCAGGUAAGUCAGUGGUGAAAUCUUCGAGCUUAACUCGGAAACUGCCUUUGAUACUAUCUGUCUUGAAUAUUGUGGAGGUAAGCGGAAUAUGUCAUGUAGCGGUGAAAUGCUUAGAUAUGACAUAGAACACCUAUUGCGAAGGCAGCUUCUACGCAUAUAUUGACGCUGAGGCACGAAAGCGUGGGGGAUCAAAACAGG
RNAcentral lists this ribosomal RNA (253 nucleotides) under uncultured bacterium. RNAcentral's name for it is "partial 16S ribosomal RNA". It matches the Rfam family "Bacterial small subunit ribosomal RNA", at positions 524 to 776 of the family's 1533-position model. The record is from RNAcentral.